ACUGCUCAGUAACACGUGGAUAACCUACCCUUGGGACUGGAAUAACCCCGGGAAACUGGGGAUAAUACCGGAUAGAUCAGGGAUGCUGGAAUGCACCUUGAUCCAAAGCUCCGGCGCCCAAGGAUGGGUCUGCGGCCUAUCAGGUAGUAGUGGGUGUAACGUACCUACUAGCCAACGACGGGUACGGGUUGUGAGAGCAAGAGCCCGGAGAUGGAUUCUGAGACACGAAUCCAGGCCCUACGGGGUGCAGCAGGUGCGAAACCUUUACAAUGUGCGAAAGCAUGAUAAGGGAACUCCGAGUGCCAGUAUCUAAUACUGGCUGUCCUUGUGCCUAAAACGCACAAGAUAGCAAGGGCCGGGUAAGACCGGUGCCAGCCGCCGCGGUAACACCGGCGGCCCGAGUGGUAGCCGCUAUUAUUGGGUCUAAAGGGUCCGUAGCCGGUUCGAUAAGCUCCUCUGGGAAAUCUGGUUGCUUAACAAUCAGACUGCCAAGGGAUACUGUCGAACUUGAGACCGGGAGAGGUAAGAGGUACUUCAGGGGUAGGAGUGAAAUCUUGUAAUCCCUGGGGGACCAUCUGUGGCGAAGGCGUCUUACCAGAACGGGUCUGACGGUGAGGGACGAAAGCUGGGGGCGCAAACCGGAUUAGAUACCCGGGUAGCCCCAGCCGUAAACGAUGCUCGCUAUGUGUCAGGUACGGUGUGACCGUAUCUGGUGCCGUAGGGAAGCCGUGAAGCGAGCCACCUGGGAAGUACGGCCGCAAGGCUGAAACUUAAAGGAAUUGGCGGGGGAGCACUACAACGGGUGGAGCCUGCGGUUUAAUUGGAUUCAACGCCGGAAAUCUUACCGGGGGAGACAGCAGCAUGAAGGUCAGGCUGAAGACCUUACCAGAUCCGCUGAGAGGAAGUGCAUGGCCGUCGUCAGUUCGUACUGUGAAGCAUCCUGUUAAGUCAGGCAACGAGCGAGACCCGUGCCCACAGUUGCCAGCAUACCCUUCGGGGUGAUGGGUACUUUGUGGGGACCGCCGCUGCUAAAGCGGAGGAAGGAGCGGGUUACGGUAGGUCAGUAUGCUCCGAAACUCCCGGGCUACACGCGGGCUACAAUGGUUGGGACAAUG
This 1115-nucleotide ribosomal RNA is filed under the name uncultured archaeon. RNAcentral describes it as "bacterial SSU rRNA". It matches the Rfam family "Archaeal small subunit ribosomal RNA", at positions 85 to 1200 of the family's 1478-position model. The record is from RNAcentral.